This is a long non-coding RNA of Formica exsecta, 267 nucleotides long. RefSeq lists it as uncharacterized. The transcript has 2 exons. The record is from RefSeq and is a predicted model, not a curated record. Lineage: Eukaryota; Metazoa; Arthropoda; Insecta; Hymenoptera; Formicidae.
GCAUCUAAUAUAUUUGUAUAUUUAAUAUAUUAUCCCUAUUAUGCAAUAGGUUAUGGAUUCACUAUUUGCCGACAAAGCGUCCAUUUCGCCUCCUGCAAUUGCUACAAGUGAUGGUCCAUCGGAUCCAAAUCAGGAAGGAUCGUCGUUAUCAGUAUUUUCUUCCGUUAAAUCAAAAAAUCCGCCGAAAAAGAGAAAACGGAUCGAAAACAUUAUGGAAGAAUUUUUGGAUAAUAUUGCGGCAGAAAAAGAAGAAAAAAAAGAAGAAAU